AACGCAUAUUGCGCCCAAGCCUUCGGGCAAGGGCAUGUCUGCCUCAGCGUCGGUUUAACCCCUCACUCAACCUCCUAUACUUUCGUAUAAGAGGCUUGCUUGUCUGAUUGUCAAGCCUUGAGUGGAUCUGGCUCUCUCGAUUCAUUCUUUCCAUGAAAGAAAGGAUUGAGUUAGCUGAAGCAAAGCGGCUAGAACAUGGACCAUUUGAUGGGUCACAACUGGAUAGGUAGAGCGGCUUCCUAGUCGACUACACGAAGUUGUGGCUUGUGGACUUUGUUGGCGGCCAAAUCAGGAAACUUUAUAUCAAACAUUCGACCUGAGCUCAGGCAAGGCUACCCGCUGAACUUAA
This 349-nucleotide unclassified non-coding RNA is filed under the name uncultured fungus. RNAcentral's name for it is "partial contains 5.8S ribosomal RNA, internal transcribed spacer 2, and large subunit ribosomal RNA". Lineage: Eukaryota; Fungi. The record is from RNAcentral.